This is a long non-coding RNA of Parus major (Great Tit), 866 nucleotides long. RefSeq lists it as uncharacterized. The record is from RefSeq and is a predicted model, not a curated record. The transcript has 3 exons. NCBI's taxonomy places the organism in Eukaryota, Metazoa, Chordata, Aves, Passeriformes, Paridae.
UAUAUCUGCUUCUUCAGUAGAGUAUUUAUGACAAAAGAUAUAGACAGACAUUUUUUAGGAACUGAUUUUGUAAACAUUUACACAUUACAUUUUUUUGUUUAUUUUUUUCCAUAUAUAAUAAAGAAGCUGAAACUUCUCUAUAGGAGACAAACAGGAGACCAGUCUUAAACCAGCUAAUGGAAACUAGUGUUCUCAGGCCUAAAAAAAAUUUUUUAUAUAAAGUCUUCAGCAACCACUUUUGAUGCUGAAUGCAUGUGCAACAAUCAUCACCUGCUCCUGCAUCACUUCUAACAGGCUGUAUUUACCUCUGUUUCCAAAACAGCUAAUCUUGAUGAUUCCUCGUAUCUUUUUCUAUUUUCCUUCUCCACAGGUGAAAUGCAUGAAGAACAGCAAAGUUCAUUGACUGGGAGUGGGAGGAAGCCUCCAUGCAAUGUGUUGGCUGCUGGCUCCUCAGCUGGAAUAGGGGUCUCUUGGACAGUGACAUGUCUAACAGCAGUGAAGACAAAAUGUAAAAUCUAGCUCUUACAGCUACCCCUUACGCCUUACUCAGAGACAAAUAGGCUUUGGUUCAGCAAAGCACUUAAACAUGUGCCUGGUCUCAAUCCCAUCAAGUAGUCUCAUGGUAGCCAAGUGAAGCAAGCAUAUGGUAAUGAAUGUGCUUAAGAGGACACAUGCACAAUUGUUUUGCCUAUAAGCACGCAGGAUAGAGGCAAGUAUGUAUCAAUUUCUGUUUCAAUGCAUAAUGUUCUUCUGUUUUCUAUCAUCCUUAGGUUCUUUAAUCAUCCAUUUAAAAAUAGCAUUUUUAAAAAUUAAAGUAUGUUACAGGAAUAUGAGCUCAGACUGCUGCCAAGUCAGUUUCAAUUAAA